CAAUGGGGGAAACCCUGNAUGCAGCGACGCCGCGUGGAGGAAGAAGGUCUUCCGAUUGUAAACUCCUGUUGUUGAGGAAGAUAAUGACGGUACUCAACAAGGAAGUGACGGCUAACUACGUGCCAGCAGCCGCGGUAAAACGUAGGUCACAAGCGUUGUCCGGAAUUACUGGGUGUAAAGGGAGCGCAGGCGGGAGAACAAGUUGGAAGUGAAAUCCAUGGGCUCAACCCAUGAACUGCUUUCAAAACUGUUUUUCUUGAGUAGUGCAGAGGUAGGCGGAAUUCCCGGUGUAGCGGUGGAAUGCGUAGAUAUCGGGAGGAACAUCAGUGGCGAAGGCGGCUUACUGGGCUUUAACUGACGCUGAGGCUCGAAAGCGUGGGGAGCAAACAGGAUUAGAUACCCUGGUAGUCCAAGGGCGAAUUC
RNAcentral lists this ribosomal RNA (423 nucleotides) under uncultured bacterium. RNAcentral's name for it is "SSU rRNA". It matches the Rfam family "Bacterial small subunit ribosomal RNA", at positions 369 to 808 of the family's 1533-position model. The record is from RNAcentral.